This 468-nucleotide ribosomal RNA is filed under the name uncultured bacterium. Its description in RNAcentral is "partial 16S ribosomal RNA". It matches the Rfam family "Bacterial small subunit ribosomal RNA", at positions 28 to 507 of the family's 1533-position model. The record is from RNAcentral.
GACGAACGCUGGCGGCGGGCUUAACACAUGCAAGUCGAACGGAAAGGCCCUGCUUGUGUGGGGUGCUCGAGUGGCGAACGGGUGAGUAACACGUGAGUAACCUGCCCUUGACUUUGGUAUAACUUCAGGAAACUGGGGCUAAUACCGUAUAGGAGCUCCUGCUGCAUGGUGGGGGUUGGAAAGUUUCGGCGGUUGGGGAUGGACUCGCGGCUUAUCAGCUUGUUGGUGGGGUAGUGGCAUACCAAGGCUUUGAAGGGUAGCCGGCCGGAGAGGGUGACCGGCCACAUUGGGACUGAGAGACGGAGCAGACUCCUACGGGAGGCAGCAGGGGGGAAUAUUGCACAAUGGGCGGAAGCCUGAUGCAGCAACGCCGCGUGCGGGAUGACGGCCUUCGGGUUGUAAACCGCUUUCGCCUGUGACGAAGCGUGAGUGACGGUAAUGGGUAAAGAAGCACCGGCUAACUACGUG